Camellia sinensis is the source of this 282-nucleotide non-coding RNA. NCBI's taxonomy places the organism in Eukaryota, Viridiplantae, Streptophyta, Magnoliopsida, Ericales, Theaceae. The record is from RefSeq and is a predicted model, not a curated record.
CAAGCUCCAGGGCAAAUCCACAAGCCGAUCACUGUGAGCCAAGAGAAGUCCAGACCCAGCCUCAGAGAAGUCUGUAUGGAACCACUAAGGUUUUGAGAGAGUCAGCCCUUGUGUCUCACGCAUGAGACCCGCCUUCGCCUUUUUGUUGUGUAUUUGCAUUUUGUCAGGUUGGCGAAGUUUUGUAUAUGUCUGCUUAUAGUUUUUAUGGGUUGACUUAGUUUUGGAUGAUCCUGUCUGUACAGAACCUAUAUCACUAUGUUUCUGUUGUGAGUUAUUAACGUA